UAACACCCGAAGUCGGUGAGGUAACCUUUUGGAGCCAGCCGCCGAAGGUGGGACCAAUGAUUGGGGUGAAGUCGUAACAAGGUAGCCGUAUCGGAAGGUGCGGCUGGAUCACCUCCUUUCUAAGGA
Molecule: ribosomal RNA, 126 nt
Filed under: Bacilli bacterium
Lineage: Bacteria; Bacillati; Bacillota; Bacilli
Description: partial 16S ribosomal RNA
Rfam family: Bacterial small subunit ribosomal RNA
Source: RNAcentral